ACUAUGGCUUCUGGAGUGUCUGCUGCCAGCCACCGUCCAGCUAGGAUCUGCCACAGUGCUUGUGGGUGAGCUGCUUACGGCCUUGUGCUUGAAACGGCCAGCAACGGCUUUGUCACACUGGAAUGCACCUCAAGUGUGGCACGACCCGUACCCAUGGAGGGCAGGGCUGGACGCUGACCUUGAGCGUCGGAUCACUGCUGUUUCACGGACAGACUGUGUAGUCACGAAUGCGGGCAGUGAAUACAAGACAGCAACUGUUGUUGAGACUGCCUGGGAGGCCACACUUGACGCACUUGUUAAGCAGGGCCUGGCGUUCCUUGACUCAACAGAGACAUUGCCAGCGUGCCUCUGCUCUGGAGUUACGGGUGCCAUUUUACUGACACGCUUGUGGCGAAUGCAAGUGAAGCAAGACCUGUUU
This is a long non-coding RNA of Rhipicephalus microplus (southern cattle tick), 418 nucleotides long. NCBI's taxonomy places the organism in Eukaryota, Metazoa, Arthropoda, Arachnida, Ixodida, Ixodidae. The record is from RefSeq and is a predicted model, not a curated record.